CAUGCGGAGAUUCUUGUUCGUGGAUAGGUAUCACGGUCAAAAGCUUCAGUACCGUGAUGAAUAUAUACAAUACAUCAAUGUGAGUUUGGCAAUACCCAUAGCUCCCUUAUUUAAUUUCUUUCCUUUUCAUUUUAUGAUUGUGAGCUUUAUGUUUCUACCUGACUCGAGUAAUUCUACUGUUGAGUUGAUGUAAAUACCAAUUUUAGGUGAAAACAGAACCUGAAAUUUAAAUUAACAAAUACUUUUACUACAAGUUACUGUCAGUUUCUCGCUUUGACUCAUUCUGUAUCAAUUAUCAAACCUUGUUCAAGAUUCUGCAUUUAGCACAAAUUUUUCAUCUUGGUGGAUGUGUUAACUACUUUGGUAGGAAAGUUUAUCUAUCUAUUCCCGUGGUUGUCUCACACUCAUUGAUUAUUGGGAACAACUUGUUUCCAUUAUUUAUUAUAGCUAAUACAGCAGUGAGAUCAUAAUUUUGUAUAUCCAAAUUUUAUAGAGUCUAACCGCACCGCUAUACUUUUAAAAUAAUCUAUUUAGCCGAGAGGCAUCCCGGCUAUAUCAAGUUAUGUUUCAGCAGUCGCAGCUGAAGUAAUGCCCAAGGUAUGAUGUUGUCCAAAUUUCUUUUCUACAUCAUUUCGAAUUUUAGUAUUGUCCUUUAUAGUAGUUAUGGAUAGGCUUCUAAAAGACUACUUCAACAUCCUCAACUACUUCAGACAGGUAUGAUCAAUUUCUUUUUAUUUUGUUGAGAUGUGCUAAACAUGCUAUUAAAUAUCAAUUCCAGAAGCUGUGGCAGAUGCAAUCCAAAGACUUUGGACAAUAUUUAAAGCCAUAUUUGAUCUUCGUGCUUGGGACAAUGAAGUCUCUGUGCAGAUGCAAAUACGCUUGUGUUUCGUUAUGUGA
Prunus dulcis (almond) is the source of this 897-nucleotide long non-coding RNA. RefSeq lists it as uncharacterized. Lineage: Eukaryota; Viridiplantae; Streptophyta; Magnoliopsida; Rosales; Rosaceae. The transcript is spliced from 3 exons. The record is from RefSeq and is a predicted model, not a curated record.